This 200-nucleotide ribosomal RNA is filed under the name uncultured bacterium. RNAcentral describes it as "partial 16S ribosomal RNA". It matches the Rfam family "Bacterial small subunit ribosomal RNA", at positions 28 to 256 of the family's 1533-position model. The record is from RNAcentral.
GAUGAACGCUGGCGGCAUGCCUAACACAUGCAAGUCGAACGAGACCUUCGGGUCUAGUGGCGCACGGGUGCGUAACGCGUGGGAAUCUGCCCUUGGGUUCGGAAUAACAGUUAGAAAUGACUGCUAAUACCGGAUGAUGACUUCGGUCCAAAGAUUUAUCGCCCAGGGAUGAGCCCGCGUAGGAUUAGCUUGUUGGUGAG